GCCUGUCCCAGUUCGGACUGGAGUCUGCAACCCGACUCCACGAAGUUGGAUUCGCUAGUAAUCGCGCAUCAGCCAUGGCGCGGUGAAUACGUUCCCGGGCCUUGUACACACCGCCCGUCAAGCCAUGGGAGCCGGGGGCGCCUGAAGUCCGGGACCGCGAGGACCGGCCUAGGGCGAAACUGGUAACUGGGGCUAAGUCGUAACAAGGUACC
Molecule: ribosomal RNA, 212 nt
Filed under: uncultured bacterium
Lineage: Bacteria
Description: partial 16S ribosomal RNA
Rfam family: Bacterial small subunit ribosomal RNA
Source: RNAcentral